GAUGAACGCUGACAGAAUGCUUAACACAUGCAGUCACUGAUUGUGGCGGACGGGUGAGUAACGCGAAAAGAACUUACCUCACAGUUAGGGACAACAUUUGGAAACGAAUGCUAAUUACUAACACUGUGAGAGGGCAUUGCGGCCCCUUAGCUAGUUGGAGAGGUAACGGCUCACCACGGCGAUGAUGGGUAGCCGGCCUGAGAGGGUGAUCGGCCACAAGGGGAUUGGGACGCGGCCCUUACUCCUACGGGCGGAAGCAGUGAGUGCUGUUGGGCGAUGGACCACAGUCUGAUCCAGCUAUUCUGUGUGCACGAUGCAGUUUUCGGAAUGUAAAGUUCUUUCAGUUGGGAAGCGGUACCAACAGAGGAAGUGACGGCUAAAUACGUGCCAGCAGCCGCGGUAAUAC
RNAcentral lists this ribosomal RNA (406 nucleotides) under uncultured bacterium. Its description in RNAcentral is "partial 16S ribosomal RNA". It matches the Rfam family "Bacterial small subunit ribosomal RNA", at positions 28 to 526 of the family's 1533-position model. The record is from RNAcentral.